AUGUUGUUUUCACUAGUUUACAUCGAUCGAAGUGAUGGGUAUUGGAUGUAUUUUAUUGGAUUGUUGUCGUGUGAAUUGUUUGUAUGGUACGCGGAAUCAAAGUCAAUAUAGGAGUGCGGAACUGUUUUCAUGAAAAAGUGCUAAAUGUCAAAUGAAGUUGGUUGGUUUAACGCCGCCGGAUGCUGGCGGGAAAACAGUUAAUUGGUGGUUGUACCGAAUAAUAAUUUGGAUGUUUUUUGUUGACUUUUUGACCUUUUUUUGAUUUAAGGUUAUAUAGUUUUGAAUUUGAUCAUUCGUUCUCAAAACCCAUUUCUUGUUUAUUCUCAAGUGAAGUUAGUUUGCUUAUUUUGGCUUCCUAACUGAAUGGGCUGACAAGUAUUAUAAGGUAUUUUGUCUAUUGCUAAGUUAUGUUAAUUAAUUUCAUGCGUUGUUUACAUAGUUUGAUGCUUAGAUCAUCCGUAGUGGGAUUUUUUUUGGGCAUUUUCCCCUAAAAAACGCCCCACAACGUCCAAAUUCCACCUCGGGGGCGUUUUUUCCAAGAAAUUUGCUUUUGGCGUGUUUUUUUCCACCCCUUGCUUCAUUGGUUUUGGCCAAUCACCAUUAAUCUUCCUUUUGUUAGUCCAAUAAGAUUUUUUGAGGGUUUUCUUUUUAUUUAAUUUUAUUACACCUCUUUUAACAUAAUGUCUACAUCCCCACUACACCCAUUUUAGAAAACACCCCAUAAUGCCCUAUUGCUGACUGAGCUGCCACAUGGCGCAAAACGUCCAAGCGUAGGGGCAUUACCACUACAUAUGGUGUUAGAAGUUUCUUUUUUUUUUUUUUUUUUUGGUAUGGUGAAGCAUACAUAUCUAAAGCUAAGUUUAUGUAGUGUGAAGUAGGUUUUUGUCAUUAAAAGGUGUCUAGUUGGAUCGAAAGUAUUUUACUCCAUAUAUAGUCACAUUGUAAUAUGCACUCAUAUUUUUAUUACAAUAAAGAUAUAAACUUGUGGCACAAAUAUAUAAACACAUGUUGGUAUCCUCUAUUUUGAUACAUCUAUAAUGGUUAAUAUCCAACAACUAAAGAAAUGAGAUGAUGACUUUACCCUUUAUUAAGUAGCUCCAAGUGAUUAGAGACUUAAGAGUGGCGAUUUAACCAUCCAUAAAGUACACUUCUACUCCUAGUUCCAUU
Molecule: long non-coding RNA, 1167 nt
Filed under: Helianthus annuus (common sunflower)
Lineage: Eukaryota; Viridiplantae; Streptophyta; Magnoliopsida; Asterales; Asteraceae
Description: hypothetical non coding rna
Source: RNAcentral